UAGCGGCAGGCUUAACACAUGCAAGUCGAGGGGCAGCGGGGGUAGCAAUACCCGCCGGCGACCGGCGCACGGGUGAGUAACGCGUAUGCAACCUACCCACUACAGGGGAAUAACCCGGAGAAAUUCGGACUAGUACCCCAUAUACCCACGGUGAGGCAUUUCACAGUGUGGAAAGGAGCAAUCCGGUAGUGGAUGGGCAUGCGUAUCAUUAGAUAGUUGGCGGGGUAACGGCCCACCAAGUCUACGAUGAUUAGGGGAUCUGAGAGGAUUAACCCCCACACUGGGACUGAGACACGGCCCAGACUCCUACGGGAGGCAGCAGUGAGGAAUAUUGGUCAAUGGCCGAAAGGCUGAACCAGCCAUGCCGCGUGCAGGACUACGGCCCUACGGGUCUUAAACUGCUUUUGGGAGGGAACAAUAAGGGCUACGAGUAGCCCGACGAGCGUACCUUCCGAAUAAGCAUCGGCUAACUCCGUGCCAGCAGCCGCGGUAAUACGGAGGAUGCGAGCGUUAUCCGGAUUUAUUAAUUCGAUGAUACGCGAGGAACCUUACCCGGGCUCGAACGGCUAUAGAAUAACUUGGAAACAGGUUAGCCAGCAAUGGCUGUAGUCGAGGUGCUGCAUGGUUGUCGUCAGCUCGUGCCGUGAGGUGUCGGCUUAAGUGCCAUAACGAGCGCAACCCUUGUCGUUAGUUGCCAGCGGGUAGAGCCGGGGACUCUAACGAGACUGCCAGCGUAAGCUGUGAGGAAGGGGGGGAUGACGUCAAAUCAGCACGGCCCUUACGUCCGGGGCGACACACGUGUUACAAUGGGGGGUACAGCCGGUUGCUACCUAGCGAUAGGAUGCCAAUCUGUAAAGCCCCUCCCAGUUCGGAUUGGAGUCUGCAACCCGACUCCAUGAAGUUGGAUUCGCUAGUAAUCGCGCAUCAGCCAUGGCGCGGUGAAUACGUUCCCGGGCCUUGUACACACCGCCCGUCAAGCCAUGGAAGUUGGGGGUACCUGAAGUACGUGACCGNCAAGGA
This 1020-nucleotide ribosomal RNA is filed under the name uncultured Eubacterium sp. Its description in RNAcentral is "bacterial SSU rRNA". It matches the Rfam family "Bacterial small subunit ribosomal RNA". Lineage: Bacteria; Bacillati; Bacillota; Clostridia; Eubacteriales; Eubacteriaceae. The record is from RNAcentral.